Small nucleolar RNA from Cucumis melo (muskmelon), 70 nucleotides. RefSeq annotates it as small nucleolar RNA Z105. Lineage: Eukaryota; Viridiplantae; Streptophyta; Magnoliopsida; Cucurbitales; Cucurbitaceae. The record is from RefSeq and is a predicted model, not a curated record. The transcript has a single exon.
GCAUAGUGAUGAUGAUUUAAACAUGUCCGAUCAAUUUAUGACUGGAAUAUCAACCUCCUACUCAUACUGA